This is a long non-coding RNA of Daphnia magna, 552 nucleotides long. RefSeq lists it as uncharacterized. The record is from RefSeq and is a predicted model, not a curated record. The transcript has 2 exons. NCBI's taxonomy places the organism in Eukaryota, Metazoa, Arthropoda, Branchiopoda, Diplostraca, Daphniidae.
AAUAAGUAUUUUUUGGCGGACACCGAGUGCAACCUGCUUGAAUUCUUCAGUGGUUUUUGUCCACACCAACAAAAUGGAUUCAACCAUAUCCUCAAGUCGUACAUACUGUUUGCUGCAACGUUGACACAUCAAAAUAGAACAGAGAUUCCGUCCAGGCAGGAGGAAACGGAACGAGUGACUUAUUCCCAAGAGGAAUCAUAGCUGUAGGAUUAGCUGUAUUUUUGCUGGCUGGGCGCUUUUUCCGUGAGAGAUUACCAUCGUGGUGAAUGCCUUUCCAGGCAUAUCGAUCAGCUAUUUCACCAAUAUGACGAAAGAAGAUGACCCGCUCUCGAUCUUUCUCACGGAUUUCUGCCUUCACCUCAGACAAUCGUUGCUUUUCACUGGCCUGCUGUUUGGUUUUUCGCCUGAUCAUUUUACCUAUACUUUUUAUUCCCUUUUUGUUUUCUUCCUAUCAAGCUCCUGGGCUGAUCAUCCUGAUAAACGUUUGCAUCCACUUUGAGUCAACCUGGAUUAUUAUCUGUUAAGUAAUAAACACUCACCUUUUAAACGAAA